GCUGUCACUCAGCGGUAGAGCAUCUGCUUUGCAUGCAGAAGGUCCCAAGUUAAAUCCCUGGCAUCUCCA
Molecule: non-coding RNA, 69 nt
Organism: Podarcis lilfordi (Lilford's wall lizard)
Lineage: Eukaryota; Metazoa; Chordata; Lepidosauria; Squamata; Lacertidae
Source: the annotation of a GenBank genome assembly